GAUGAACGCUGGCGGCGUGCCUAAUACAUGCAAGUCGAGCGAACGGACGAUAAGCUUGCUUCUCUCAUGUUUGCGGCGCACGUGUGUGUAGCACGUGGAUACCCUACCUAUAUUUCUGGUAUAUCUUCGGGAAACCGGCUCUUAUCCCGUAUAAUAUUUUGAACCGCAUGGUUCAAAAGUGAAUGACGGUCUUUCUGUCUCUUAUCGAUGGUUCGGGGCUGCAUUAUCUAGUUGUUACGGUAACGGCUUAUCAAGGCUACGAUGCAUAGCCGACGUGAGAGGGUGAUAGGCGACACUGGAAGGGAGACACGGACAAGAGUACUACGAGAGGGAGCAGUAGGGAAUGUUCCGCAAUGGGCGGAAACAUGACGGAGCAAGGCCGCGUGAGAGAUGAAGGUCUUCGGAUCGUAAAACUCUGUUAUUAGGGAAAAACAGAUGUGUAAGUAACUGUGCACAGCUUGACGGUACCUAAUCAGAAAGCAACGGCUAACUACGUG
This 497-nucleotide ribosomal RNA is filed under the name uncultured bacterium. Its description in RNAcentral is "partial 16S ribosomal RNA". It matches the Rfam family "Bacterial small subunit ribosomal RNA", at positions 28 to 507 of the family's 1533-position model. The record is from RNAcentral.